This 126-nucleotide small RNA is filed under the name Marmota monax (woodchuck). The record is from RNAcentral. Lineage: Eukaryota; Metazoa; Chordata; Mammalia; Rodentia; Sciuridae.
GCCUGGUGCAGUGGCACACGCCUGUAAUCCCAGCAGCUGGGGAGGCUGAGACAGGAGGAUUGCGAGUUCAAAGCCAGCCUCAGCAACGGGCAAAGUGCUAAGCAACUCAGUAAGACCCUGUCUCUA